This 253-nucleotide ribosomal RNA is filed under the name uncultured bacterium. RNAcentral describes it as "partial 16S ribosomal RNA". It matches the Rfam family "Bacterial small subunit ribosomal RNA", at positions 524 to 776 of the family's 1533-position model. The record is from RNAcentral.
UACGUAGGGUGCGAGCGUUAAUCGGAAUUACUGGGCGUAAAGUGUGCGCAGGCGGCCGCGCAAGUCGAGUGUGAAAUCCCCGAGCUUAACUUGGGAAUUGCGCUCGAAACUACGUGGCUGGAGUGUGGCAGAGGAAGGUGGAAUUCCACGUGUAGCGGUGAAAUGCGUAGAGAUGUGGAGGAACACCGAUGGCGAAGGCAGCCUUCUGGGCCAACACUGACGCUCAUGCGCGAAAGCUAGGGGAGCAAACAGG